CCGGGGUGGACAUACCGCUGGUGCACCAGUUGUUCCGCCAGGAGCACAGCUGGGUAGCUAUGUAUGGACGGGAUAAGCGCUGAAAGCAUCUAAGCGUGAAGCCCCCCUUGAGAUGAGAUUUCCCACAGAGUUAAUCUGGUAAGACCCCUCAUAGACGAUGAGGUUGAUAGGUUCGGUGUGGAAGCGCGGUAACGCGUGGAGCUGACGAAUACUAAUCGGUCGAGGGCUUAUCCACAA
RNAcentral lists this ribosomal RNA (237 nucleotides) under Brevibacillus fluminis. RNAcentral's name for it is "partial 23S ribosomal RNA". It matches the Rfam family "Bacterial large subunit ribosomal RNA", at positions 2692 to 2925 of the family's 2925-position model. The record is from RNAcentral. Lineage: Bacteria; Bacillati; Bacillota; Bacilli; Caryophanales; Paenibacillaceae.